Molecule: ribosomal RNA, 430 nt
Filed under: uncultured bacterium
Lineage: Bacteria
Description: bacterial SSU rRNA
Rfam family: Archaeal small subunit ribosomal RNA
Source: RNAcentral
GCGAGAAACCUUUGCAAUGUGCGCAAGCACGACAAGGUUAAUCCGAGUGUUUCCUGCUAAAGGAAUCUUUUGUUAGUUCUAAAACCACUGAUGAAUAAGAGGUGGGCAAGUUCUGGUGUCAGCCGCCGCGGUAAAACCAGCACCUCAAGUGGUCAGGAGGAUUAUUGGGCCUAAAGCAUCCGUAGCCGGUUCUGUAAGUUUUCGGUUAAAUCCACCAGCUUAACUAAUGGGCUGCCGAAAAUACUGCAGAACUAGGGAGUGGGAGAGGUAGACGGUACUCGGUAGGAAGGGGUAAAAUCCUUUGAUCUAUUGAUGACCACCUGUGGCGAAGGCGGUCUACCAGAACACGUUCGACGGUGAGGGAUGAAAGCUGGGGGAGCAAACCGGAUUAGAUACCCGGGUAGUCCCUGAGCGGGCUGGCAAGGCGCAU